CGGUCGAGGCAGGCGGAAUUCGUGGUGUAGCGGUGAAAUGCUUAGAUAUCACGAAGAACCCCGAUUGCGAAGGCAGCUUGCCAGGCCUGGACUGACGUUGAGGCUCGAAGGUGCGGGUAUCGAACAGGAUUAGAUACCCUGGUAGUCCGCACGGUAAACGAUGGAUACUCGCUGUCGGCGAUACACGGUCGGCGGCCAAGCGAAAGCGUUAAGUAUCCCACCUGGGGAGUACGCCGGCAACGGUGAAACUCAAAGGAAUUGACGGGGGCCCGCACAAGCGGAGGAACAUGUGGUUUAAUUCGAUGAUACGCGAGGAACCUUACCCGGGCUUGAACUGUGCCUGACAGCCUCAGAGAUGGGGCUUCCAGCAAUGGCAGGCAUGGAGGUGCUGCAUGGUUGUCGUCAGCUCGUGCCGUGAGGUGUCGGCUUAAGUGCCAUAACGAGCGCAACCCCUCCCGCCAGUUGCCAUCAGGUAAAGCUGGGCACUCUGGGGGCACUGCCACCGCAAGGUGUGAGGAAGGUGGGGAUGACGUCAAAUCAGCACGGCCCUUACGUCCGGGGCUACACACGUGUUACAAUGGGAGGUCACAGAGGGCUGCUACCCGGCGACGGGACGCCAAUCCCCAAACCCUCCCUCAGUACGGACUGGAGUCUGCAACCCGACUCCACGAAGCUGGAUUCGCUAGUAAUCGCGCAUCAGCCACGGCGCGGUGAAUACGUUCCCGGGCCUUGUACACACCGCCCGUCAAGCCAUGAAAGCCGGCNNUGCCUGAAGUGCGUAACCGCAAGGGGCGCCCUAGGGUAAAGCCGGUGAUUGGGGCUAAGUCGUAACAAGGUAACCA
Molecule: ribosomal RNA, 842 nt
Filed under: uncultured bacterium
Lineage: Bacteria
Description: bacterial SSU rRNA
Rfam family: Bacterial small subunit ribosomal RNA
Source: RNAcentral